AGUUCACGUAACAUUCAAUCAAUUAUACCAUUGCUCUAUCUCUAAAGUUUUCUUUUUCUCCUUUUCUCAGUGUCUUACCAAGAAUGAAAGGCAACCUAUGUAAAAACUAUGGGCUUUCUAGUAUAAAUAAAAACUACUCAUCUCCAGAAAAUAAACAAUGACUGCUAAGAUGAUUGAAAAAAGAAAGGAGAAGAAAGUAGCUUGUAAAAGCGUGUGAAAUGCAUUCACGUUGGAAUCUCCUACAGGCACUUCAGAUGGAUAACAUUGACCUCAUGUGUAACUACAACGAAUUCAAGGGUGUGGACAUGUUUUUCAGGUCUUCAGACUGUAAACAUUUUAAGUGUGAUUGCUGUGAAUGAAGGAAACCCAGAGCCAUCAUGACAAGCCUAAACUCAAAGGGGACUGAUUUCUUCUACACUGAAUGUUUCAUUAGUGACAGGGCCCAGAUAAUAAAGAAUUGUGCUCACUUCCUGUGAGUGAUGGCUUUCCCUCAAUUGUAUGCUGAGUAACAUUUACAGUAUUCAUUUUUAAGCACCCAUCUUCCUGGGAGCCCUAUUUCCCCUAAGCUUUCAAUUGAUCCUCCUAAGAGCAGAGAUCACUUAGGCACUGAGCUAUGCAGCUGCUGCCUGAGUCUCCUGGACGCCUGCCCUCACCUCCAGCCACAUGAAAAACAUUCAAGCUUUAACUUCAGAAAUGUUCUCUAACCCACUCCCAGACACCCAACUGAUUAAAUCAUAGAUUAGAGGAAAAA
This 751-nucleotide long non-coding RNA is filed under the name Homo sapiens (human). RNAcentral describes it as "non-protein coding LINC00702:11". Lineage: Eukaryota; Metazoa; Chordata; Mammalia; Primates; Hominidae. The record is from RNAcentral.